CACGGAGUUAGCCGAUGCUUUUUCUUCGGAUACACGCGGUCCGGGACACGUCCCGGGUUUUGUUCUCCGACAAAAGAGGUUUACAACCCAUAGGGCCGUCUUCCCUCACGCGGCUUGGCUGGUUCAGGAUCUCUCCCAUUGACCAAUAUUCCUCACUGCUGCCUCCCGUAGGAGUCUGGUCCGUGUCUCAGUACCAGUGUGGGGGACCUUCCUCUCAGAACCCCUACGCAUCGUCGCCACGGUGGGCCGUUACCCCGCCGUCAAGCUAAUGCGCCGCAUGCCCAUCCUCUUCCGAUGAAUCUUUCCUCGAUCUCGGAUGCCCGAAACCGAUAUACGCGGGAUUAGCCUCCCUUUCGGAAGGUUGUCCCCCUGAAGAGGGCAGGUUGCAUACGUGUUACUCACCCGUGCGCCGGUCGCCGGCAAGGAAAGCAAGCUUCCCUCCCGAUGCCCCUCGACUUGCAUGUGUUAAGCCUGCCGCUAGCGUUCAUCCUGAGCCAGGAUCAAACUCU
This 509-nucleotide ribosomal RNA is filed under the name uncultured Bacteroidales bacterium. RNAcentral describes it as "partial 16S ribosomal RNA". Lineage: Bacteria; Pseudomonadati; Bacteroidota; Bacteroidia; Bacteroidales. The record is from RNAcentral.